RNAcentral lists this ribosomal RNA (1654 nucleotides) under Salmonella enterica subsp. enterica serovar Singapore. RNAcentral describes it as "partial 23S ribosomal RNA". It matches the Rfam family "Bacterial large subunit ribosomal RNA", at positions 681 to 2236 of the family's 2925-position model. The record is from RNAcentral. Lineage: Bacteria; Pseudomonadati; Pseudomonadota; Gammaproteobacteria; Enterobacterales; Enterobacteriaceae.
GUCUUAACCGGGCGUUAAGUUGCAGGGUAUAGACCCGAAACCCGGUGAUCUAGCCAUGGGCAGGUUGAAGGUUGGGUAACACUAACUGGAGGACCGAACCGACUAAUGUUGAAAAAUUAGCGGAUGACCUGUGGCUGGGGGUGAAAGGCCAAUCAAACCGGGAGAUAGCUGGUUCUCCCCGAAAGCUAUUUAGGUAGCGCCUCGUGAAUUCAUCUCCGGGGGUAGAGCACUGUUUCGGCUAGGGGGCCAUCCCGGCUUACCAACCCGAUGCAAACUGCGAAUACCGGAGAAUGUUAUCACGGGAGACACACGGCGGGUGCUAACGUCCGUCGUGAAGAGGGAAACAACCCAGACCGCCAGCUAAGGUCCCAAAGUCAUGGUUAAGUGGGAAACGAUGUGGGAAGGCCCAGACAGCCAGGAUGUUGGCUUAGAAGCAGCCAUCAUUUAAAGAAAGCGUAAUAGCUCACUGGUCGAGUCGGCCUGCGCGGAAGAUGUAACGGGGCUAAACCAUGCACCGAAGCUGCGGCAGCGAACGUAUCACUUAAAGCGAUUCAGCGGGUUACGAUUGACGGAGCGAAGCGACGUCAAAGCGUAUACAAAGUCGAGUCGGUUUAAGGAUACGUUCGUUGGGUAGGGGAGCGUUCUGUAAGCCUGUGAAGGUGGCCUGUGAGGGUUGCUGGAGGUAUCAGAAGUGCGAAUGCUGACAUAAGUAACGAUAAAGCGGGUGAAAAGCCCGCUCGCCGGAAGACCAAGGGUUCCUGUCCAACGUUAAUCGGGGCAGGGUGAGUCGACCCCUAAGGCGAGGCCGAAAGGCGUAGUCGAUGGGAAACGGGUUAAUAUUCCCGUACUUGGUGUUACUGCGAAGGGGGGACGGAGAAGGCUAUGUUGGCCGGGCGACGGUUGUCCCGGUUUAAGCGUGUAGGCUGGUUUUCCAGGCAAAUCCGGAAAAUCAAGGCUGAGGCGUGACGACGAGGCACUACGGUGCUGAAGCAACAAAUGCCCUGCUUCCAGGAAAAGCCUCUAAGCAUCAGGUAACAUCAAAUCGUACCCCAAACCGACACAGGUGGUCAGGUAGAGAAUACCAAGGCGCUUGAGAGAACUCGGGUGAAGGAACUAGGCAAAAUGGUGCCGUAACUUCGGGAGAAGGCACGCUGACAUGUAGGUGAAGUGAUUUACUCAUGGAGCUGAAGUCAGUCGAAGAUACCAGCUGGCUGCAACUGUUUAUUAAAAACACAGCACUGUGCAAACACGAAAGUGGACGUAUACGGUGUGACGCCUGCCCGGUGCCGGAAGGUUAAUUGAUGGGGUCAGCGCAAGCGAAGCUCCUGAUCGAAGCCCCGGUAAACGGCGGCCGUAACUAUAACGGUCCUAAGGUAGCGAAAUUCCUUGUCGGGUAAGUUCCGACCUGCACGAAUGGCGUAAUGAUGGCCAGGCUGUCUCCACCCGAGACUCAGUGAAAUUGAACUCGCUGUGAAGAUGCAGUGUACCCGCGGCAAGACGGAAAGACCCCGUGAACCUUUACUAUAGCUUGACACUGAACAUUGAGCCUUGAUGUGUAGGAUAGGUGGGAGGCUUUGAAGCGUGGACGCCAGUCUGCGUGGAGCCGACCUUGAAAUACCACCCUUUAAUGUUUGAUGUUCUAACGUGGACCCGU